UACGUAGGUGGCAAGCGUCAUCCGGAAUUAUUGGGCGUAAAGGGUGCGUAGGCGGUUGAUUAAGUUUUAGGUGAAAGCGUGGGGCUCAACUCCAUACAGCCUAAGAAACUGGUUAACUUGAGUGCAGAAGAGGAAAGUGGAAUUCCAAGUGUAGCGGUGAAAUGCGUAGAUAUCAGGAGGAAUACCAGUGGCGAAGGCGACUUUCUGGACUUAAACUGACGCUGAGGUACGAAAGCGUGGGGAGCAAACAGG
This 252-nucleotide ribosomal RNA is filed under the name uncultured bacterium. RNAcentral's name for it is "partial 16S ribosomal RNA". It matches the Rfam family "Bacterial small subunit ribosomal RNA", at positions 524 to 776 of the family's 1533-position model. The record is from RNAcentral.